This 292-nucleotide ribosomal RNA is filed under the name uncultured bacterium. Its description in RNAcentral is "partial 16S ribosomal RNA". It matches the Rfam family "Bacterial small subunit ribosomal RNA", at positions 505 to 796 of the family's 1533-position model. The record is from RNAcentral.
GUGUCAGCAGCCGCGGUAAGACGAGGGGUCCUAGCGUUGUUCGGAAUCAUUGGGCGUAAAGCGCAUGUAGGCGGCCUUAUAAGUCGGAUGUGAAAUCCCUGGGCUUAACCCAGGACGUGCAUUCGAUACUGUUUGGCUUGAAUAUGGGAGAGGAUAGUGGAAUUCCUGGUGUAGUGGUGAAAUACGUAGAUAUCAGGAGGAACACCGGUGGCGAAGGCGGCUAUCUGGCCCAAUAUUGACGCUGAGAUGCGAAAGCGUGGGGAUCAAACAGGAUUAGAUACCCUAGUAGUCC